Anopheles funestus (African malaria mosquito) is the source of this 511-nucleotide long non-coding RNA. RefSeq lists it as uncharacterized. The transcript is spliced from 2 exons. The record is from RefSeq and is a predicted model, not a curated record. Lineage: Eukaryota; Metazoa; Arthropoda; Insecta; Diptera; Culicidae.
UCAUUCAACACCUGACAUUCAACUCCUCCACCCUACGCAUCACACUUCGUUGAAGAUAAAUGUGCCGAAAAUGUUUCGGUAUGAGCACGUUGGUAAUUUGACUGGUUGUCGUUGUUGUUUUUCUUCCCUUCUAUCAUUUGCAUGCGACGGGUACAACUUGUCCACUGUACCGGUAAAGGAUUAAUGCACACAUACAUACAAGGAGUUCAGUGUACAAAGGGUAGUAACUGCGCUGAGGUGGGGUGUCCGAUACCGGGACAUAAACAUCAUGUUGGGCAUAAAAUUUUUGGUACAUCAAAUCCACGUUAGGAAAAAACAGACAAAGAGACGAGACUGGUGGUGGUGGAUUAGAGAAUUACCAGGAGGAGGUAGUAGCGAAAGUGUUGCCUUGAAAUACGUGCGAAGCUAAAGGAAUAAAAAAAAAAAACCCUGGCGAAAUGGGUCCAAGGAGGUAAAAAGCAGAAUUUAAACAAAAAAAUAAACAAAACGCAUAGCGAGAGACAAUCAGAAA